This is a long non-coding RNA of Bubalus bubalis (water buffalo), 847 nucleotides long. RefSeq lists it as uncharacterized. The record is from RefSeq and is a predicted model, not a curated record. The transcript has 3 exons. NCBI's taxonomy places the organism in Eukaryota, Metazoa, Chordata, Mammalia, Artiodactyla, Bovidae.
UGCUGUAAUGAAUAGAAACUGAUGAGAGGGUAGAUGAGAAUUUCAGGCAAGGCUUUACUGGUACUCCUGCUGCAGCACAUGGUAGUGAAAACAAGUUACAGAUUUCCUUGUUCAUUCCCAGAGGGUUAUCAGUUACUAAAAUGGGGUGUGGGUAGGGCUAAUCCGUGGGUUGGGCCAGAGUGCGGUCUCAGGUGAUCUGUCCACCCCCUUGGUGCCUCUGGGCACGGGUUGAAUGUGCAGUAUCCUGCUUCUCCUCCUGCCACCUGAGAAGAGGCUAUUGGGCUUUUGGUCUCUUCAGUCCUCAAUAUUACAAAUGCAACAUUGCAUAAAGUCAGUUCCUUUCUUCUUGUCAUCUACACUCCUCAGCCUGUUUAUCUUCAUCACAAACUGGGUCCCUGGAACACUGUCAUUAAGGGCUGAGAGGUGAAGAUACAUUAGAUAAGAAAAUAGCAGACAGGGACCCUGAAGCACUUUAAGAAACCCCAGUCUGCAGGAAAUCCUCAUCUUGGCUCCAAUCAUCAGAAAACCUGUUCUUUACCAAAGUGGUAAACUUUCCUCUGGAUGACAUUCAUUUAACUGCAUGGACAGAAGAUGGAAGCUCUGGGUAGAAGCUGACAGAAAUUUUGUAGAACACCAUACUCAGCUUACGGGUUACUGGUCUAGAACAAAGAAUACAAAAAAUUCCAGGGACUCUGAUAAAUUAUCAAAAAUUUACUUUCAAGUUCAGAAAACUAUUUUAGCCUCUUCAAGAUCAUGUGUCCAACUACAAAAUAGAUGAGAGUCAGGCAAUCACUUUUUUAUAAUUGUCAUAGAGUUUUGUGAGCAAUAAAAUGUUGUGUUACUUUUU